Molecule: transfer RNA, 70 nt
Filed under: Protobothrops dabieshanensis
Lineage: Eukaryota; Metazoa; Chordata; Lepidosauria; Squamata; Viperidae
Description: tRNA-Thr
Rfam family: tRNA
About the family: Transfer RNA (tRNA) molecules are approximately 80 nucleotides in length. Their secondary structure includes four short double-helical elements and three loops (D, anti-codon, and T loops). Further hydrogen bonds mediate the characteristic L-shaped molecular structure. tRNAs have two regions of fundamental functional importance: the anti-codon, which is responsible for specific mRNA codon recognition, and the 3' end, to which the tRNAs corresponding amino acid is attached (by aminoacyl-tRNA synthetases). tRNAs cope with the degeneracy of the genetic code in two manners: having more than one tRNA (with a specific anti-codon) for a particular amino acid; and 'wobble' base-pairing, i.e. permitting non-standard base-pairing at the 3rd anti-codon position.
Source: RNAcentral
GCUCUAAUAGCUUAAAAUCUAAAAGCAUUGUUCUUGUAAACCAAAGCCGGGUAUCCCUUAGAGCAACUAA